This 53-nucleotide ribosomal RNA is filed under the name Golovinomyces biocellatus. RNAcentral's name for it is "partial 28S ribosomal RNA". The record is from RNAcentral. Lineage: Eukaryota; Fungi; Ascomycota; Leotiomycetes; Helotiales; Erysiphaceae.
GUUGACCUCGAAUCAGGUAGGGAUACCCGCUGAACUUAAGCAUAUCAAUAAGC